This 2204-nucleotide long non-coding RNA is filed under the name Homo sapiens (human). RNAcentral describes it as "HSALNT0377727". The record is from RNAcentral. Lineage: Eukaryota; Metazoa; Chordata; Mammalia; Primates; Hominidae.
CUCGGUUGUCCUGCCAUAAGUAGUAGAAAGUGCCCAGGAUCCAGGCUACGGUCAGGAUGGCGAUGGCAUUGGCGCGGAUCUUCCUCAUGGAAUGGACUCCAGCAGCAUCACAGAAUCAAAGCAACACCUAAGGAAUUCACUGUUUCUUCACAUACUUUGAACUGUGAAAACAAGAGUCAUCAUAAUAGCUGCAGUUUACUCAGUACCUACCAGGUACUGUCACCUAUACUGUCUCUAAAGCCCCUACAACCCUGAGCUAAGGAUGAUCAUAUCCCCAACUGCAGAUGAUGACACUGAAGCUCAACGGCUACUCAACUUGCCUGGAAUCCUACAGCAAAAACUGUUAUGAAUGUACUCCACCAAGGCAAGAAAGGAAGAAGACAUGGAAUUUAAAAAACAGAGGAUCUACUAUGAAAGAGAAAGGUGAAGGGAAUUCCAGGCUGAUGGUAAAUGCAAAUUCCAGGAUGAGAGUUGGGCAGCAGGCCUAGAGUGCACUCCGUCCUGGGAGGAGCCAGAUGAUAGAGGGCUCUAGGAGAGAAGGCUCCAAGGGAAAAUGAAACAAGAGGAGGAGAAGAAACAGGCUUACGCUGAGCGAAUCCAAUGUGCAGACAGACACACAGGGAAGGUGACCAUUUGAAGACGGAGGCAGAAACUGAAGUUGUGCAACUGCAAACCAAGAAAUGCCAUGGAUUGCCAACAACCACCAGGAACUAGAAGAGGCAAGGUAAGGUUCAGCAAAGUCUAUGUCAUUCUCUAAUCCUUUUGAUCCAGCGGAUUCUUUGGAGGAAUUUGAAUACAUAUUGGAUUUUGCAUCCAGGUUUGCAAGAGGAAAAUACAAAGGUGACUUCUGGGCCUGCUGGAGGUGGAGGGUAGAGGAUGGACAGCUGACAUCUAGUCACAGAGGAAAGAACACAGAAAGAGAUCUCCAGUUAAAGCUGAUAGAUUGAACCACAGACAACCCACCUCCUUCUAAAAUCCCUCUAGAACAAUGGUUUAAAAAAAGUGCUUUAACAUAAAACUUCAAAAUCAAAAAGAUAAGGAAAAUGAUGAAAACCACUCAGAUAAGAAGAGAGGAUAUUUAUGCAGAGGCUGCUGUCGUUGGGAGUCCGCCACCAUACCACUAUACUUUGGUGAGACUUGAAGGCAGGCAGGGAGUGGAAACACUUUAUGCUGUAGUGAAAAAAGGGGAAGGCUUCGGUAUGCUCUGACUGGAGAUCAUUGUCAUGGGGAAACUGCAGGUGGGCUAACUAGAGGCUGGGCUUCUUGUGUAAUGGUUUGGCUUUCUCUGGUUGGUCCUGUGUUGAAAAUAGGGGCAAAAUAUAGGGAAGCUGACUCAUUGACCAAGCCCUGCCCAGGCUGGCCAAUUGCAGAGGUUGUGGGUCAGAGUUCUAUUGUCAUAUAUGGUCUGGCUACUGUCUGUUUAUAUAAUCCGUCUCUCAGAGAACAGUAGAGGAGAUCAAAUUAUUAACAUUUUGGAAGCUGGAAAGCAGGAGGAUAGUGUGAGCUGAAUUAGCAGACUUGCCAUCUAUCAAAGGGGAUAGCCAAAAGCAAGCCAGAUUUGCCCCAGAGAACCACCAAAGGUUCAAGAAUUGGCAGCACCAGGUACCCCCAGAAGCAGGGAUAAAGUGGGGGCUGAAAUUGGACAGUUGGUUCAAAGUCUAUUUCAGAAGCAUUAGACCACUGGAUUUCUUCCCCAGCUCCCAAAUGACUGCCUGGUGCAAAAGACUCAGGAUUGAUUCCCUGGAGAGGGUAGGUAGUUCUUUGUCUAGUUAAGGAUGGGAUGCCAUAACAAACAUGCCAAUUCAGUGAAAGUACCUACUUUCAAGACUCCUGCUUAACUCCCCUAAAUCAGCAGCCAAUGUUAGAAGCCAAGUGUUAAAGUUUUUCAGAUAAUUUUGCUAUAAGCCUAUGGAGAAAUUUCAUUACCAUCUCAUAGCAAGGCCUAUAGUAUAAGAGCAGGCCUAUAGUAGCAUAUGGGGGAAAGUCUAAAAGACUUUGAAAUGGACCAAAAGAUUAUUGAGAAAUGGAAAACUGCAUUGUUUUAAGUAUCCCUUUCCAACUUAUCAGAUUCUGUGGGGUUUAUACCUUUCAUUGUCUUUGAGGUAUUUAACAAUUCUAAAGAGAUAGACUCUAACUUGUAGAAAACUAAGAGUAACAUAAAUAAUUAUCGUCUUUAGAUAUACAAAUAAAUUCUGUUCUGAGAA